GGGCCUAUAGCUCAGUUGGUUAGAGCGGCAGACUCAUAAUCUGCGGGUCGAAGGUUCAAACAAACUCAGCGGAUGCCUCUCUACGAAUCGGCAUCCAUCUUCUGGGCCCA
RNAcentral lists this transfer RNA (110 nucleotides) under Leptospira noguchii. RNAcentral's name for it is "tRNA-Met". It matches the Rfam family "tRNA". From Rfam's summary of the family: Transfer RNA (tRNA) molecules are approximately 80 nucleotides in length. Their secondary structure includes four short double-helical elements and three loops (D, anti-codon, and T loops). The record is from RNAcentral. Lineage: Bacteria; Pseudomonadati; Spirochaetota; Leptospiria; Leptospirales; Leptospiraceae.